RNAcentral lists this ribosomal RNA (253 nucleotides) under uncultured bacterium. Its description in RNAcentral is "partial 16S ribosomal RNA". It matches the Rfam family "Bacterial small subunit ribosomal RNA", at positions 524 to 776 of the family's 1533-position model. The record is from RNAcentral.
UACAGAGGUGGCAAGCGUUGUUCGGAAUUACUGGGCGGAAAGGGCGCGUAGGCGGCUUGGUCAGUCCCGUGUGAAAUCCCUCGGCUCAACCAAGGAAGUGCAUCCGAAACUGCUGAGCUUGAGUACUUAAGAGGAUCGCGGAAUUCCCGGUGUAGAGGUGAAAUUCGUAGAUAUCGGGAGGAACACCAGUGGCGAAGGCGGCGAUCUGGGAAGAUACUGACGCUGAGGUGCGAAAGCGUGGGGAGCAAACAGG